RNAcentral lists this ribosomal RNA (540 nucleotides) under uncultured bacterium. RNAcentral's name for it is "bacterial SSU rRNA". It matches the Rfam family "Bacterial small subunit ribosomal RNA", at positions 777 to 1322 of the family's 1533-position model. The record is from RNAcentral.
AAUAGAUACCCCGGUAGUCCACGCCGUAAACGAUGGAUACUAGCUGUUGGAGGGUAUCGACCCCUUCGAGUAGCGAAGCUAACGCGUUAAGUAUCCCGCCUGUGGAGUACGGUCGCAAGACUAAAACAUAAAGGAAUUGACGGGGACCCGCACAAGCGGUGGAUUAUGUUUCUUUUAAUUCGAUGCUAGACGAAGAACCUUACCAGGGUUUUGACAUCCUUGGAAUUACUGCGAAAGCAGUGAGUGCUUUAUUGAACCAAGUGACAGAUGAUGCAUGGCCGUCGUCAGCUCGUGUCGUGAGAUGUUUGGUUAAGUCCAUCAACGAGCGCAACCCUUGUGAUUAGUUGUAUUUUUCUAAUCAGACUGCCCCGGGUUAACGGGGGAGGAAGGAGGGGAUGAUGUCAGGUCAGUAUUUCUCUUACAUCCUGGGCUAGAAACGUAAUACAAUGGCGAGUACAAUGCGCAGCGAAGCCGCGAGGUGAAGCAAAUCGCAUCAAAGCUCGUCCCAGUUCGGAUAAGAGGCUGAAACUCGCCUCUUUG